Molecule: ribosomal RNA, 253 nt
Filed under: uncultured bacterium
Lineage: Bacteria
Description: partial 16S ribosomal RNA
Rfam family: Bacterial small subunit ribosomal RNA
Source: RNAcentral
UACGUGGGGGGCAAGCGUUGUUCGGAAUUACUGGGCGUAAAGGGCUCGUAGGCGGCCAACUCAGUCGGACGUGAAAUCCCUCGGCUUAACCGGGGAAUGGCGUCCGAUACUGGAUGGCUUGAGUUUGGGAGAGGGAUGCGGAAUUCCAGGUGUAGCGGUGAAAUGCGUAGAUAUCUGGAGGAACACCGGUGGCGAAGGCGGCAUCCUGGACCAACACUGACGCUGAGGAGCGAAAGCCAGGGGAGCAAACGGG